Molecule: microRNA precursor, 103 nt
Filed under: Marmota monax (woodchuck)
Lineage: Eukaryota; Metazoa; Chordata; Mammalia; Rodentia; Sciuridae
Source: RNAcentral
AGGGGAAUAGCUGGGUCAAAUGGUGGUUCCAUUCCCAGAUUUCCAAGGAAUCUCCAUAUUGCUUUCCAAAUUGGCUGCACCAAUUUGCAGUCCCACCAGCAAU